This is a long non-coding RNA of Glycine soja, 381 nucleotides long. RefSeq lists it as uncharacterized. The record is from RefSeq and is a predicted model, not a curated record. Lineage: Eukaryota; Viridiplantae; Streptophyta; Magnoliopsida; Fabales; Fabaceae. The transcript is spliced from 2 exons.
CAAAAAUAGUGGAGAAAGUAUGUCUAAACUGGCCACCUUCUUGUAUCUUCUCAUUUGCUUCGGCUUAACCUAUGCCUCUCGUCCUAACGUUGAGUUCGACGCAAUCAUUUCACCGCACAGGACUCAUUGGAAUUGCUAUGUUUCGACUUUCGAUUGAAGGAUGUUUCGGCAUACAAAACAGCCUUAGCAGUGUUGGACGAUGAGAGUUGCGAAGGAAUAGACGGGAGUGAGGAAUGUUUGAUGAGAAGAACUCUAGUGGCUCAUGUUGAUUAUAUCUACACUCAAAAGCAUAAACCAUAAUUGAUUCUUGAAAUAGAAGAUCAACACUUGAAUCACAUGCACCCAUAUAGAUUUAAAUAAAUAAUAUACACUUCCUGUAUA